This is a long non-coding RNA of Hemibagrus wyckioides, 974 nucleotides long. RefSeq lists it as uncharacterized. The transcript has 3 exons. The record is from RefSeq and is a predicted model, not a curated record. NCBI's taxonomy places the organism in Eukaryota, Metazoa, Chordata, Actinopteri, Siluriformes, Bagridae.
CUAAUCCUGUAUCGCACUGAACAAAAAUAUUGAUAUAUCGCCAAAACUCGAUAUACCGCCCAGCCCUAACACACACAUAUAUACACAUAUACACAUUAUUGUAUGUUUACACUAAAAUGUAAAAAUUCAUUAUUUAUCUUUAACAGAAAUUCAAGUGCGGAUGGUCUUAAUAUGAUCAUGCAUACCCUCCAAGGUGUUAAAACAUCUUAAAAUAAGUUAAUGUCUAAUGUCCAUAAAAAUGGACAAACAAAAACGGAUCUUCUUAGAGACUCACCAGUCUAUACUUGUCUUGAGAAAGAAAUGUUUUUUAAAAGUUAUACACUAUAGUCUCCAGAGACGUGCUGCAAAUGGAUCUAAUCAGGACAGAAGACACAGUAGAAGGUCCAAGUGCAUAUCUGCCCAAGAAGACUUAUGAGUGCCCUUGAGAAAAACAGACCCCUUACGUCUCCUGAAUUGCCUGCAUCAUGGAAUAAAACAAGAGAAACCAGUGUGCAAGGCACUGUGUGUUGGAUCAGCUGGCCUCAACUCGGACACACUGUGUGUUGGAUCACCUCAGAUCAGCUGGCCUCAUGGGCAGAAUUGCCAAGAAAAAACCCUACUAUGGUUUUCAAAUUUAAAGAAGAGUUUACAGUGCACAAACAGUGGCCUUUAGAUGACUGAAACCACGUCUUGUUGACUGAACUUUAUCUUGCUAGUAUGGGAGAAGCUGGACCAAAGAGUUUGAGAACACUGCACAGUCAGCACAGCAGACCUCUUGGCAGUGAUGCAGAAGGCCUCAGAAGAAAUCACAACUGAAUAUCUGCAUAAAAGGAUCAUUAGAUUGUGACAGAUUUGUCAGAUGCAGCAUGACCAGAUAAGAAUGAUGAUGACAGCAUACACUGAUCAGCCUCCUUUACCUCUGACAGAUUUCAGUACGUCCAAGCAUUUGUGGGAUGGAACAGACAAAGAAGUCCGAUACAUGGAGGCCGCGCCUU